This 250-nucleotide ribosomal RNA is filed under the name uncultured bacterium. RNAcentral describes it as "partial 16S ribosomal RNA". It matches the Rfam family "Bacterial small subunit ribosomal RNA", at positions 524 to 776 of the family's 1533-position model. The record is from RNAcentral.
UACAGAGGGGCAAGCGUUGUUCGGAAUUACUGGGCGUAAAGGGCGCGUAGGCGGCCUUCUAAGUCGAACGUGAAAUCCCUGGCUCAACCCAGGAACUGCGUCCGAUACUGGAGGCUUGAAUCCGGGAGAGGGAUGCGGAAUUCCAGGUGUAGCGGUGAAAUGCGUAGAUAUCUGGAGGAACACCGGUGGCGAAGGCGGCAUCCUGGACCGGUAUUGACGCUGAGGCGCGAAAGCCAGGGGAGCAAGCGGG